Molecule: ribosomal RNA, 404 nt
Filed under: uncultured bacterium
Lineage: Bacteria
Description: bacterial SSU rRNA
Rfam family: Bacterial small subunit ribosomal RNA
Source: RNAcentral
GUAGGGAAUAUUAGUAAUGGGCGAAAGCCUGAACUAGCAACGCCGCGUGUGCGAAGAAGGCCUUCGGGUUGUAAAGCACUUUUUGAGAGGAUGAGGAAGGACGGUACUCUCAGAAUAAGUCUCGGCUAACUACGUGCCAGCAGCCGCGGUAACACGUAGGAGGCAAACGUUAUCCGGAUUUACUGGGCGUAAAGCGCGUGUAGGUGGUUUGGUAAGUAGGGCGUGAAAGCUCCUGGCUCAACUGGGAGAGGCCGUUCUAAACUGCCGAACUAGAGGAUGGUAGAGGGAGGUGGAAUUCCGGGUGUAGCGGUGGAAUGCGCAGAUAUCCGGAGGAACACCAGUGGCGGAAGCGGCCUCCUGGACCAUUCCUGACACUCAGGCGCGAAAGCUAGGGUAGCAAACGG